AUGCAUAAUUCAAAGCGUAUAAGGUUAUAUGAAGUGAAGGAUGGAUGCCAUGCCGAGGCAUUUUUGAACAGUGUAUCCCUUGGCAAUGAGGAAGCUAUGCCCAUUGGGGAGAGGGUAGCCGUGCUGGAAAGGAAACAGAACUCACGUGUGCUCACAGUGAAGUACGGGCCUGGUGGCUUGCGUGAGAUCUCCUUCAACCCUAGCUCAAGAAGGCGCACUAAGGAAGACGAGCACAACGAAGAAGAGUAGAAGGACUACAAGAGGAGAAGCGUGCAGUCCCUGGGGUUGAAGCAGAACAAAGCCAAGUUCUAUUUAUUCGGCGGACGUAGAGGCAGAGGAGGUGGGGAUCGCGGGCGUGGCAGAGGCGGCAGAGGCAGAGGUGGUGGGGGCAGAGGCAGAGGCAGGGGCCGUGGUAUGAGUAGGGGAAGGGGAGGGGGCAGGAGCUGA
This 447-nucleotide ribosomal RNA is filed under the name Triticum aestivum (bread wheat). Its description in RNAcentral is "partial small subunit ribosomal RNA". The record is from RNAcentral. Lineage: Eukaryota; Viridiplantae; Streptophyta; Magnoliopsida; Poales; Poaceae.